Delphinapterus leucas (beluga whale) is the source of this 104-nucleotide small nuclear RNA. The record is from Ensembl. NCBI's taxonomy places the organism in Eukaryota, Metazoa, Chordata, Mammalia, Artiodactyla, Monodontidae.
GUGCUUGCUUAGGCAGCACAUAUACUAAAACUGGGACGACGCAGAGAUUAGCAUGGCCCCUGCGCAAGGAUGAAACGCAAAUUCGUGAAGUGUUCCAUAUUUUU